Molecule: ribosomal RNA, 253 nt
Filed under: uncultured bacterium
Lineage: Bacteria
Description: partial 16S ribosomal RNA
Rfam family: Bacterial small subunit ribosomal RNA
Source: RNAcentral
UACGAAGGGGGCUAGCGUUGCUCGGAAUCACUGGGCGUAAAGCGCACGUAGGCGGAUUGUUAAGUCGGGGGUGAAAUCCUGGAGCUCAACUCCAGAACUGCCUUCGAUACUGACGAUCUCGAGUCCGGGAGAGGUGAGUGGAACUCCGAGUGUAGAGGUGAAAUGCGCAGAUAUCAGGAAGAACACCCGUGGCGAAGGCGGCUCUCUGGGACGGUACUGACGCUGAGACGCGAAAGCGUGGGGAGCGAACAGG